AAGCCUUUGCAGAGGCCAGCGAAUGGGCCCUGCAGCUCAGGCCCUGGUGGGCCUUGGCCUCAGCACUGGGGAUGCCACUACCCCGUCAAAACCUGUAGCUGGCUCCUUCUAGAAUGUGCUAUCAACCUGCCCUCAGCCUCUGAGCACAGUGAGGGCUGUAUGUCCCCACUGGACAGUGCAGGUGGCCUGGGGGUGUGUCAGAUGGGGAGGUUAAAGUCACACAGCCCCAGACCGCAGAAUCAGGACUGGAACCCAGACCUCACUGGCUCUGAUUUGUGUAGAAACCCCUGGAAGCCGCCUGGAGCAGGGCAAGGAGGGUUGAGCAGCUGGUUCACUGCUGCUCCUGGCCCAUGUUUUAGGUGUUGUGGGGGCAUCUUACAGAGCUCUUUUGGGAAUCCCCCUCUGCUCCCUGUGUCCCUGGGCCCUUGUCGGGUGACAAGCGGCUCCCAAGAACUCUCAGACCAAGGUCCUGGCCUUAAGUGACUCCAGAUCUCGGGGAGACACAGCCAGACACAGCCAAGCCAGUCCUGUGAGGUCAGGCUGGGGACAUCCAGGAAGGUGGCAGCCUUGGGGGCCGGGAUAGUGUUGGUGCAGGCAGGGCAAGGUUGGCCAGGCACGGGCUGCCACAGAGAUGGGCACCACAGCAGUCAGAGCACAAGUGCCGGAGCAGACGGCUGAAUGGCCACAAUGGGCUCAGGUGAGGGUCCAGGGGCCCAGAAGAGCUUGGGAUGCCCUGUCCUGAGCCUGUUAGGCUAGAGUGUCCACAAGAGCGGGACACCCCCCAGGAUCACUCAAGUCUUCAAAACCAGAUUCUGUGGGGUACCCCAAGCUGGCAUUGGGGGAACCUACCCAGGAGCGCUGAAGGAGGACUCUCCUUCCCCAGGCUGCUUUCAGACAGAGGUCCUUGGCUUUCUACAGGGAGCCCAGCCAGGCUCACAAUAAGCCAGGCCUAGCGGAGGAGAGCAGUUUUUCUUGCUCUGAGGUUUCAAAAGGGCUUGGUGAAUUUUAAAAAGCUCCAAGACCCACCUGGAGCUCACUUUCAAGGUGCAGCUACAGGGCAGCGUAGAGUUGUUGGGCUUUGUGUCUCAGGAGGAGCAUCUCUGCACUCUGGAGAAGUAUCUGGUGGCGUCAAAGCCAGGUCUCAGGAGUUGGUUUUGGGGAUGUGUCCAUCUUGGCUUCCCAAGUGCUCCCUGGGCUGCCAGGAGCCACCAUCUAGGGAAUUUUCCAGGUCUUACCUGAACCCCACAUCCAGGCUUACAGGGCUUUGAGUCCUCGGCCCAGACAGGGUCAGUCCAGCACUGCUGGUCGCCUGUGUAGCACAGGCUCCUGUCCGCCGUCUCCAGGCCCUUGCCAUAGCAACAGGGAUGGGCAUUUAUGGGCCCUGAUGGCUCUUACUGAGCUCUUCCUGCCACAUCCUGAGGAUGCUAGGGCUGCAACUGGGGUGGCCCUGUGCAGUCACAAAGCAGGGAGUCCGGAUUGGAGGAUUCUUACAUGCUGGUGCCCCCAGAGCCCCUGCGUGUCUGCAGGGGCCUCCCAUGAGAGCCAACUCAAUUGUGGAAGACAAACCGGAGGGGCUGCUGCCCUUCUCAGAACCUGAAACCUGGAACCCUAUAUGAAUCUGCAUUUCUGAUCAGCCCCUAUUGUGGGUCUAGGGCUAACGGCCAUCAGUGCUUUUUCUCUGCUUGAAAAGGUAGAAGCCCCCAAAGUUGUCCAUUGGCCAUGCCCCUGUGAGGGCAUGAGCCAGAAGUGAGGGCAGUUUGUUUUUCAGUGAUACUUCAGAGAGGGCCAUUUGAGAUGGGCUCUGAGGAGAGUAACAACAUGGUGGUGCCUGCCAUGCAGCUCGCCAGCAAGAUCCCGGACAUGUCGGUACAGCUGUGGUCGUCAGCACUGCUGAGAGACCUGAAUAAAGCCUGUGGGAACGCCAUGGAUGCCCAUGAAGCCGCCCAGAUGCACCAGAACUUCUCGCAGCAGCUGCUCCAGGACCACAUUGAGGCCUGCAGCCUCCCCGAACACAACCUCAUCACGUGGACAGACGGUCCACCCCCCGUGCAGUUCCAAGCUCAGAAUGGACCCAACACCAGCCUGGCCAGCCUCCUGUGAGGCCUUGAUGGGGCCAUCCAGCUCCGCAGAGCCUGCGCGUCUCCGGCUUCCACCCAGACGGCACUCAAGCCUGCCCCCGAGGCGUGCUUCCUUCCUGAUUGUCUCUAGAGCUUCCAAGUCCUGGGAAUGUGCGGGGCCAGUCCCUGCCCUCCCAGGAGGGGUGGUAGCCGUUCCCACCUCGCACCAGGACCCCCAGUGCAGAGGCUCACAGGUGGCACACAGGCGCUGUCUCUCCAGAGCCAUCCUUCAGAGUGGACCUCAGUGCCAGUCCUGCCUCAGCAUCUGGGUCACGUCGGCCAAGAGUAGGGUGCAGGCCUCCAGCAGGUCCUAAUCCUGUGUGCCAGGGCAGGCAGUGCCCCAGGGGCACCACGCCUGACUCUCCAUCACCCAGGCCUUGAUGCCGAGCGGGAGUAGAGUGUUUCCUCUGCUCAAGGCAAUUUCCAGAGCCCGGAUGCCAGUUUCUGGCCUGAAUUUGGAGGGAAGAAGUAAUGGCCCUAGUGUGGGACGAAGCACAGAUCCCAGCACUUUUCCCAGCUUUCUCUCCAGCAUCGGUCCCUGCAGCAGCUGGGGCCUCUGGUCAGGAACCCUCAGGGACCCAGGAACUCAGCUUCCAAACAUCUGCACCUUGACCGGACUCGCCAUCCCACUGUGGGGGUGCAGGUGAUUGUAAACACGGGUCUGCAUGUGGAUGCACACGGGUGUGCGGUGAAGAUCUGUGGAGAUGGAGCUGGGAGCUGAGGCUCCUGUUGCACCAGCCACCUUCCCCCAUCUUGUGGCUGCUGAGGGGCAGGAAGCGGGGGAGUGGGCUUGUCUCCUAAAUUUAAGAUCACCUCCUCAGCUAGCUUAGAGUGCAUGGCACGGGCCCCCCGCCCCCGAGAUCUGGAGCCCAGGGACUUUCUUCCUGGCAGAUCUGUGGCCUUCCCUGCUCAGCCUCUUGGUCCCCCCACUCCCUCCACCGCCUCACUUUCCCUGCUGGGUCUCUGGGGCACAGUGUGAAACCCGCACCCUAGCCAGGCCCCAGGGAGCCUCCGCUGGGCCCAGACAGCAGCGUUUGGUUUUAUCCACUUUUCUUGGAUAAUCAGGAGGUGCCCCAGUGGUCACAGUGUGGCAUUCCGAGUUGGCGCGGGUGGUCGGGUCAAGAUAGCAGCAGCAGGUGUCAGGGCUCAAGACACCACCCCCUCCAGCUUCUGGGGCCCAGGAGCCUCUCCCUGCUACAGGGGGUGGGGCUCCUGCUCAGCAGGGUAGGUGGUGGUUUUAGGUCUUGUCACCCUCGCUCAGUGGAACUGCCUCUGGGAGCUUUGGCGUCUGUGACUAAAGGGACGCUGGAUUGCUCAGGUCAGCUGCUCAGGGCUCCCAGGCUGGGUGUGCCUUAGCCACAGGCAGGGCUGUCAAUAACCCCCUUCCUCACUGGCCACCACCUGACAUCAGCACCAGUGACAGGCUGGUCAGAGGGCGGGGCUGGUGAGGGUUUGUCCUAAGAGGACCACUGCCAUCUCUGGGUCUCCAGGGGGAGAGCCUGGCCCUGUCCUUUGCUACCCAGGGCUGCCCCCAGGCCCAUGAAGCCAGUAGGAGAGCGUGUGGCACUGGCCCACAAAGUGUCCCUGUCCUGUCUUCCUCCCGAGCCAUGGCCUCUGCUAGCUCCACCUUGAAGGAGCCCCCCACAUCCUCCCCUACAUCCCAGAGAUGCCACCACUUGUGUCUCCACAAUGUGCUCCUGCCCAUCCGGGUUCCGCACUGUCCGACCCCUGCACACCACUCAUGUCACCAUGGCGUGCAUCAUGUUCAUCCCCAUCUAUUUAUUUAAGCCUUUCUUUGCUUGUAGGGCAUUUUGUAUGUAGAGCAGUUGAAAACAGAACCUCAGAACUUAACAUCUGUCCUGAUGUUAAAGUGCUUUUCAUGACCACCCUGUUAUCUAUGUAUAUGUAAAGUUAAGGAUGAGAUCUUAAGUUUACAAUUAAAAACUCAGUACUC
Molecule: small RNA, 4071 nt
Filed under: Pan troglodytes (chimpanzee)
Lineage: Eukaryota; Metazoa; Chordata; Mammalia; Primates; Hominidae
Description: retained intron
Source: RNAcentral